CCUGCAGGCUGCUCUGUCGCGGUCCCGGUUCUGCCGGGAAUGAGGAAAGUCCGGACAACGUAGAGCGCUACACCAUCUAACGGAUGGGCUUCUCCGCAAGGGGGAGACAGAGAGUGUCACAGAAAAUUACCGCCCCCGCCGAAGCCUUGGCGUAGGAGGGGGGUAAGGGUGAAAACGUGCGGUAAGAGCGCACGCCGCGGCUUGGCAACAGGCUGAGGGGAUAAACCUUGUGGGUUGAAAUGCCAUGUAUACCCCGGUUUCCUUCGGGAUGUAGAGUUGCUCGCUCUAUUUCUUCUUCGGAAGAAGCCGCGGAGGGUAGGCAGAUAGACCCUGUGCCGCGAGGCCAGGGCUAGAUAAAUGACAGGGGCCGGCCCGCCAUAGCUUUUAGCGAAGGAGGGGGCGGAACAGAAUCCGGCUUAUAGGCCUGCAGGAAUU
This 435-nucleotide RNase P RNA is filed under the name Saprospirales bacterium. Its description in RNAcentral is "RNase P RNA component class A". It matches the Rfam family "Bacterial RNase P class A". Rfam says of the family: Ribonuclease P (RNase P) is a ubiquitous endoribonuclease, found in archaea, bacteria and eukarya as well as chloroplasts and mitochondria. Its best characterised activity is the generation of mature 5'-ends of tRNAs by cleaving the 5'-leader elements of precursor-tRNAs. Cellular RNase Ps are ribonucleoproteins. The record is from RNAcentral. Lineage: Bacteria; Pseudomonadati; Bacteroidota; Saprospiria; Saprospirales.